RNAcentral lists this ribosomal RNA (177 nucleotides) under Clostridium saudiense. RNAcentral's name for it is "partial 16S ribosomal RNA". It matches the Rfam family "Bacterial small subunit ribosomal RNA", at positions 1 to 182 of the family's 1533-position model. Lineage: Bacteria; Bacillati; Bacillota; Clostridia; Eubacteriales; Clostridiaceae. The record is from RNAcentral.
GUGAGAGUUUGAUCCUGGCUCAGGACGAACGCUGGCGGCGUGCCUAACACAUGCAAGUCGAGCGAGUAGAGUUCUUCGGAACAAAGCUAGCGGCGGACGGGUGAGUAACACGUGGGCAACCUGCCUCAUAGAGGGGAAUAGCCUCCCGAAAGGGAGAUUAAUACCGCAUAAGAUUGU